This 299-nucleotide ribosomal RNA is filed under the name uncultured eukaryote. Its description in RNAcentral is "partial large subunit ribosomal RNA". The record is from RNAcentral.
CCUCAGGAGCCGUGAUAAGCGUUGCCGGCGGCUCAGUCCAGUGACGUUCGUAAAAAUUCACGAUUUGCCGUGUGCCGCGGAUAAGCGCCCCUUCGAGCGCCUCAUCGGCGACAUUCCCCUGCGCAUCCGCAAUCUCGCGCCAGGUUACGGCAUAUUCAAAACAAAGGAUACCUCUUCGGAUGAUCAGGAAAUCAACGCCCGCAUCAUCGACAGCGACCACAAUAUAAUGACCGUCAGGAUCAACGCCAGUUCUGCCAUGGGAAAUAAGCCGCGCAAACGAGACCGAUAGCGCACAAGUA